UAGGGAAUUUUCGUCAAUGGGCGCAAGCCUGAACGAGCAAUGCCGCGUGAACGAGGAAGGUCUUCGGAUCGUAAAGUUCUGUUGAAGGGGAAAAAGAGCGGAGAGAGGAAAUGCUUUCUGAUUGAUAUUACCCUUCGAGGAAGUCACGGCUAACUACGUGCCAGCAGCCGCG
RNAcentral lists this ribosomal RNA (172 nucleotides) under uncultured bacterium. RNAcentral describes it as "partial 16S ribosomal RNA". It matches the Rfam family "Bacterial small subunit ribosomal RNA", at positions 355 to 519 of the family's 1533-position model. The record is from RNAcentral.